Molecule: ribosomal RNA, 175 nt
Filed under: uncultured bacterium
Lineage: Bacteria
Description: partial 16S ribosomal RNA
Rfam family: Bacterial small subunit ribosomal RNA
Source: RNAcentral
CCAUGAAGCUGGAUUCGCUAGUAAUCGCGCAUCAGCCACGGCGCGGUGAAUACGUUCCCGGGCCUUGUACACACCGCCCGUCAAGCCAUGGAAGCCGGGGGUGCCUGAAGUGCGCUGCCGCGAGGAGCGCCCUAGGGUAAAACCGGUGACUGGGGCUAAGUCGUAACAAGGUAUC